Molecule: long non-coding RNA, 719 nt
Organism: Vicugna pacos (alpaca)
Lineage: Eukaryota; Metazoa; Chordata; Mammalia; Artiodactyla; Camelidae
Source: RefSeq, a predicted model, not a curated record
GUCCGAGUUGGAUGAUCUUAAGAGGGGAUAAGAAGAUGUUGAAGUCUUACCUCUUGACCUGCAAUACCACAGAUAUGACAACUGAGGUCACGUGAGGUUUCCUCAAUAUAUCACAACUACAUACCAGCAGAGCUAGACCUAAAUUCUGAAUUUACAGAUUCUCCAUACAGUGUUCCCUCAUGGUUAUUCCAAACUAGAGACAUCAAGCAACUGAAGACUAGAACAUUGGGAGUUGGAAUGCAGGACCAAGCCACUUGUGGAAUGGCCACAGAGGGAGGGGAGAUCUGAAAGGCUCAGAGAAAAGCAGAAAAAUCGAGACAGACUGAGAGUGAGCUACCUUGAAUGGAUCUCUCUGUUACUUGAGCCCAAAGAACCUUGACUAGAAUAAGGAGCCUUUGAGAGGCAGCAUUUACAGAGAGCCUGUGUUCUCUGAGGAUUUAUCGCAGAGCAGUGAAGAGACCUAAUUCUCAACCUGGAGAAGUUUAAGUCCAGCAGUGGAGGUUUAUGGUCAGUCCUGACGACUGGGAAGUCCAAGAUCAAGGUGCCAGGAGGCUUGGUUCCAGAAGUCUGAUUCUGGAUGGGAACUGAGGCAGCUGGCCCAGCCCUUCACUGUGUAGAUGAAGCUGAAGUUCUGAGAAAGUCACUCAGUGAGACUCAGAAAGACUAGAACCCCAGGCUUCUGACAUUCCCGUGAGCAUCGCUUACUUGUUAUAGUGGGU